Molecule: non-coding RNA, 117 nt
Organism: Apiotrichum porosum
Lineage: Eukaryota; Fungi; Basidiomycota; Tremellomycetes; Trichosporonales; Trichosporonaceae
Source: the annotation of a RefSeq genome assembly
GGUUUGAUCGUAUAAAGGUUAGUACACAAGAUUCUGAUCCAGUCAUGCAGCUCCUCCUCGAGCUCGUGAGUGACUAGAAUCGUUCUUGUAAUCUGGGUUCGAUUCCCAGUCAGACCU